RNAcentral lists this ribosomal RNA (469 nucleotides) under uncultured bacterium. Its description in RNAcentral is "partial 16S ribosomal RNA". It matches the Rfam family "Bacterial small subunit ribosomal RNA", at positions 28 to 507 of the family's 1533-position model. The record is from RNAcentral.
GACGAACGCUGGCGGCGUGCUUAACACAUGCAAGUCGAACGGUGAAGCGAGUGCUUGCACUCGUGGAUCAGUGGCGAACGGGUGAGUAACACGUGAGUAACCUGCCCAUCACUCUGGGAUAAGCACUGGAAACGGUGUCUAAUACUGGAUACGACCAACCCUUGCAUGGGGUGUUGGUGGAAAGAUUUAUCGGUGAUGGAUGGACUCGCGGCCUAUCAGCUUGUUGGCGGGGUAAUGGCCCACCAAGGCGACGACGGGUAGCCGGCCUGAGAGGGUGACCGGCCACACUGGGACUGAGACACGGCCCAGACUCCUACGGGAGGCAGCAGUGGGGAAAUUUGCACAAUGGGCGAAAGCCUGAUGCAGCGACGCCGCGUGAGGGAUGACGGCCUUCGGGUUGUAAACCUCUUUCAGCAGGGAAGAAGCGAAAGUGACGGUACCUGCAGAAGAAGCACCGGCUAACUACGUG